Molecule: ribosomal RNA, 253 nt
Filed under: uncultured bacterium
Lineage: Bacteria
Description: partial 16S ribosomal RNA
Rfam family: Bacterial small subunit ribosomal RNA
Source: RNAcentral
UACGAAGGGGGCUAGCGUUGCUCGGAAUGACUGGGCGUAAAGGGCGCGUAGGCGGAUGGCACAGUCAGAUGUGAAAUUCCUGGGCUUAACCUGGGGGCUGCAUUUGAUACGUGUGGUCUGGAGUGAGGAAGAGGGUUGUGGAAUUCCCAGUGUAGAGGUGAAAUUCGUAGAUAUUGGGAAGAACACCGGUGGCGAAGGCGGCGACCUGGUCCUUAACUGACGCUGAGGCGCGAAAGCAUGGGGAGCGAACAGG